Molecule: ribosomal RNA, 494 nt
Filed under: uncultured bacterium
Lineage: Bacteria
Description: bacterial SSU rRNA
Rfam family: Bacterial small subunit ribosomal RNA
Source: RNAcentral
AUGAACGCUAGCGACAGGCCUAACACAUGCAAGUCAGGGGCAGCACAAGGAGCAAUCUGAGGUGGCGACCGGCGCACGGGUGAGUAACACGUAUGCAACCUGCCUGUAAGCGGGGAAUAACCCGUUGAAAGACGGACUAAUACCGCAUAAUACUAAAUUACUGCAUGGUAAUUUAUUUAAACAUUUAUGGCUUACAGAUGGGCAUGCGCAUGAUUAGCUAGUUGGAGAGGUAACGGCUCCCCAAGGCAACGAUCAUUAGGGGUUCUGAGAGGAAGGUCCCCCACACUGGUACUGAGACACGGACCAGACUCCUACGGGAGGCAGCAGUGAGGAAUAUUGGUCAAUGGACGAGAGUCUGGACCAGCCAAGUCGCGUGCAGGAAGAAUGUCCCUAUGGAUUGUAAACUGCUUUUGCAGGGGAAUAAAGUGCAUCACGUGUGAUGUUUUGUAUGUACUCUGCGAAUAAGGAUCGGCUAACUCCGUGCCAGCCGCCGC